Long non-coding RNA from Cucurbita pepo subsp. pepo (vegetable marrow), 407 nucleotides. RefSeq lists it as uncharacterized. Lineage: Eukaryota; Viridiplantae; Streptophyta; Magnoliopsida; Cucurbitales; Cucurbitaceae. The record is from RefSeq and is a predicted model, not a curated record.
UUCUUCCUCCUCCUCCUCCUCCUCCGUUCUCACUCGGGUCUUAGGGUUUCGUCGAUUUCUUUUUGAGGGGAAUGUUGUCUGGCUCGAGGACGCUUUUCUUAACCCUCUUAGUUUCAGUGUCGUCGGACCAGGCUUCAUUCCCCCCAAUUAAUUCCACCGCCCCUCGACGAUCUUAACAACAACGACAACGACGAGUGUCGUCGGACCAGGCUUCAUUCCCCCCAAUUAAUUCCACCGCCCCUCAACGACAAUAACAACGACAACGAGAUUGGUGUGAUGAUGAAGCUCCUUUUUGACUUUCAGUUGGGAGUCUGCCCAAAAUCCCCUCUUUCUUCAUCAUUAUUGGCUCUUUUUUUGCCCUCUUAGAUCUUGUAAUCAUGCCUUUCUUACCCUUUUUUGCUUCAUUA